Molecule: ribosomal RNA, 253 nt
Filed under: uncultured bacterium
Lineage: Bacteria
Description: partial 16S ribosomal RNA
Rfam family: Bacterial small subunit ribosomal RNA
Source: RNAcentral
UACGUAGGCAGCGAGCGUUGUUCGGAGUUACUGGGCGUAAAGGGGGUGUAGGCGGUUGUUUAAGUUUGGUGUGAAAUCUCCCGGCUCAACUGGGAGGGUGCGCCGAAUACUGAAUGACUAGAGUGCGGGAGAGGAAAGUGGAAUUCCUGGUGUAGCGGUGAAAUGCGUAGAUAUCAGGAGGAACACCGGUGGUGUAGACGGCUUUCUGGACCGUAACUGACGCUGAGACACGAAAGCGUGGGUAGCAAACAGG